CUCUUUAUUAUACUCCCUAUUAUUUCUUUCCAUGGUGACAACCUCAUUUUGGAAUAAGUUCUGUUGUGUUUGUGAAAGUUUACAUUACUUUUUUUUUUUUUCUUUUUUUUGGGGGGGGUGGUGGUGGUGGGGCAAUGGGGCUGCAGGCAUUGUCUGGGUGAGCCUCCACAAGGAAGCCCUGAAGUCCCUCCUGGCUCAAAGCAGCCCCAAAGAGAGCUGGGAGGUCUGCAAAGUCCAUGCUGGCAUUGUGGUCCGAGAUCGCUCGAAUGAGCCCCCGGCUGUCCUCCUGGCCGCCGCGGUACCUUCAAGUCUUCGAGAGAGGCCUCAGCACCUUUCCCCCCCACCAGCUGACAUCUUCCUCAACUCUACCUUGGCUCCAGCUCAGGCUAACACUAUUAGGAAGUGAAUUCCAUCCUGAUUCAACCCCUGCUGCUGCUGCUGCUGCUGCUAAGUCGCUUCAGUCGUGUCCGACUCUGUGCGACCCCAUAGACGGCAGCCCACCAGGCUCCCCCGUCCCUGGGAUUCUCCAGGUAAGAACACUGGAGUGGGUUGCCAUUUCCUUCUCCAAUGCAUGAAAGUGAAAAGUGAAAGUAAAGUCGCUCAGUCGUG
Molecule: long non-coding RNA, 609 nt
Filed under: Bos indicus x Bos taurus (hybrid cattle)
Lineage: Eukaryota; Metazoa; Chordata; Mammalia; Artiodactyla; Bovidae
Description: lncRNA (ENSBIXG00000018505.1)
Source: RNAcentral